This is a non-coding RNA of Rattus norvegicus (Norway rat), 16797 nucleotides long. The record is from RefSeq and is a predicted model, not a curated record. NCBI's taxonomy places the organism in Eukaryota, Metazoa, Chordata, Mammalia, Rodentia, Muridae.
UCAGUAGUCCAAGGCUUGGAAAGACUCCAAGAAAAGUAAUCAUUUUCUCUGGAAAAGAAAUCAAUCUUGAACGUCAGGAGCAGUGAGGAUUUGUUUGAGAUAUUUUAACCUAAAUUGGCUCAUCUCACACUCUGUCUAUAGGAGCACAAUAGAUGAACUUUGGGGAGAGUUGAUCCUGUCAUCUCAGCUCCUCACCCACAGACCUGGGUGGCCACAGCAAUCCAUAUGGCCCAGCAAUCAGAAUUGAUUAGGAAGUCCUGGAAUGGAAAGGCUGGCCAGGAGUGGAUUAGCUGCCUGGGUAUAGAAACAUUUGGGGCUCCUGUGUUCAGGGUAGCAGUCAUGCUUCUUACACUCCCAGCAAAGAGAAGAAAACCAACUAGCCAUUCCCGGGAUGAUCUGAACAACCACAGCACUCUAGCAGACAGCCUCUGCCCCAGUCUAGGGAAGUGCCUAUGUAGACAGGACUUCUCCACAGCAAUGGGUAGAUUGCAUGUCCUCAUGUCUGCCUGAUAGCACAGGGCCUCAAAACCCAUGUUGUACCAAAACCAGACUAAGGUAAGUCAGUCGGUGAUGUCACUGAUGUUACUGGUGAUGUCACUGAUGUUACUGGUGAUGUCACUGAUGUUACUGAGCCAACCUCCUUUCCAACUGUGCACACAGCCUAGACAACUCUCUCUGGAAACAUAUUAAUUCUCCGUGUCACAGUGAUGCUCUGUUGUUGGCUUCAUGGAUGUAGGCUUAGCUGGGUGUCCCUGUUAGUCCUCCCAGCACACAAGGCAUACCAACCGGGAUUGAGAUGCAAACAAUUGGUCUAUCCGGAUACUUUAUCUUUAUGGUGUCCAGAACCCUAUUGUGGAGGCAGGGAUUCCGACUUGGGGACUGCCUUCCAGCUUUCUUUCCUCGGCUGUGACAAAGGAGUGGUAAGCUGGCACGGAAAGUCUCGGGCAAACCCAUGAAUCAGUGAUGACACAGCACAUCUUGAAUCCACCGCAGGUGGUUGCACAGGUACCUAAACCUACUUAACAUAUGAAACCCCACUUCUACAGAGGCCUGUGGAAGGGACAGUAACCCUGGUACUCUUAUCAGAAGCCAUGGUGCAUCCUCAGGCUUAUUCUCAUUGUGAGUAAAGCUCCAAACCUUGCAUCCAGCCUUGAAAGAGCUUGUCUUUGGUCACAGGUGUCCAGCAUGGACUGUAACUCCUUGAGUCCUCAUCCGGUUCCCAGACUCUAUGGCAAGUUCCCACCUGUGGGGCUAUUUUGAAGGAGCGAGUAUAUACCUAAUUCCACAUACAAGUGGUACUGGGCAGCAAUGAUUACAGUCCUUUUGAUCUUCAUGGAGAGCACUCAGAUCUUAGCCUCCUAGCCCUUGCUCGCUUCCAACUCUACUUUAACUUGAAAGUGUGGCCUGCCCUCACCACCAGUGGGUGGCCUACGGAAUGCUCCCUCAGUUUCUGUGUGACUAUGGUACCCUCUUUUACACCUUUGGCCUAAGACCUUGUGGACAAGUGGAUCAAGACUUUGUGUAAGAUCAGUCCUGUCUGGCACUGGCACUCCCAUAGCAAGGACAUGACACCAUGACUUCCAACAACAAAUGUUUGUAAGUUCUGUAACUGUCUGAAGUCUCUCCAGGGGUGACAGCAUUUGGAAUAAGCACAAAUCUUGUCCUAGUGGUCAUGAGGGAUACAUGCACUAGCUGCCCCUGGGGGUUCUCCAGGCUCCAGAGCCAUCCACAGCAUCCAGCUGGAACAUACCCUCGAUGUCCAGAAAAUCCCUUUGCACAGUUAUCAAUGAGAAACACUUCAUAGGCAGGCACAGGCCAUGGUACAUGUUUGAGAAACAGUUCAAAUGAUGAUUUUACAAUCUGAAAUGAAAGGGACUGGGAGCAAGGCUCUGUGGGUAAAAGACCUGAGUUCUGAUCCAUAGCAGUGACACACAAAGCAGGGCAUGGGCUGUGAACACUCCUAUAAGGAGGCAGAAGGAUUGCUGGGGCUUGCAGCCUGUCAGCUUGGCCAAAUAAGCAACAGAGAAAAAAGUAAAAGCAAACAACAGUGAGAUCUAGGUUCUAUGACAGAGGGAGAGACCUCUCAAGGGAAUAAAAUGGAGCACACUAGAGGAGGACACCUACCACCAUUGCCUCCACACAUGCAUGUAUGUACGAGUACACCUCCACAUGCACAUACACACACAUGCACACAUGUGCACAUACACACAAUUAAACACAUAUGCAAGAGCACAAACAUGUACAGAUACAUGCAUACAUGCACAUGCACACCCACAAAUGUGUAUACACAUGCACACAUGUUCGUGCACACAUGUUCGUGCACACAUUCAGGCACACACAUGCACAUAUGUGCACGUGCAUUCACUCAUGUACACACACAUACUUAUACAUUCAUACGCAUGCACACACACAAACAUGCAUGCACUUACAUAUGCAAGCACACAUGCAUAUGCACACAUUCACACACAUGUGCACACAGGCAUGUACUACAUAUCUACACACAUGUACACACAUGCAUGCAUACACACACAUACACAUACAUGUGCACACAUGCACACAUGCACACACACACACACAAACACACACACACAAUCCAAAGCACCCUGGCUUAUGUGCUGGCUGCCUUACUGGCCAUGCCCUGUUUUUCUGCCUCUUACUCUGUCCCUAUGAAUCUUUGCCAUGUCUUUAUUCCUUGUAUUAAGGUCAUCGGGGUCUCAGUUGUAUUGUGCAUUGAUAAACAGCAACACUGCUUACUCAUGUCCUACUCAUUCCCUCCGUUCAUCUUCUCCUGAAGUUUUAAAUUAGCUUCCUGUGACCAUGUAUCUUUCCUAAUUGUUACUGCUGGUUAAAAUUCUUCCAUUGACAUGGUAGAGAAUGUACAGUGAAUUUAUUUGCUACUAUGAAUAGGUAAAUAGUUUGAGCCAAGUUUACCUGAGCAAAGUGUCUUUGGGUAAUAUCUCUGUCCUGAGUUCAGUCUGUGCGUGUGUGUGUGUGUGUGUGUGUGUGUGUGUGUGUGUGUGUGCCUCUGACAUCCUAAACUAGCCAAUCUCUGUCUCCCCAACUCAUUGCUGUGCUUUUAUAACGUUCUGAGUGUCCAUCUGUCUGCAUGCAUCUACCUGGAUGGGGUAGGAGCAGAAGCUUGGGAGGGCUGGAGGAAGCAUACAGAGGUGGGAACCUCUUGUGUUUGAGCACAGUUAACUCCUGUGGGAGGGACAUCUUCUACUGAGACACAGCCCCCUUGAAACCACUUUGUUUGCUGAGCUGUUUACAUAGCAUUCCCUGUGCUCAUGUGUUCGUUUGUGGGCUCCCAUCCUCUCUGUCCUCCUCACCCCAGCAAGAUAGAGGUGGCCCCUAUGUAAUCCGGGAAGGGCCGGAUGGGAGGGUUCUUGGCUAUGGAGCAUGGGUCAGCAAAGGUGUCAAUGCUCACUUAGAUUCUGGUCCUAUCACUGAGGUCUGUGAGGAGAAGCCCAGGACCCAGAAGCAGAGAGCCGCACCCUCCUACUGCCCUAGCACCAAACAGCUCAUUGUUAGUUUCCAGAUCUGAAGAGAACAUAAAGGGUGGAAGGUAAAAUAGUCAAACGCCUUCUCUCUCAGAAUCAGAGACAGAGACCUUUGGGGGCCACUCAUGGAAAUCUCUACACGAACCAAAGCAUCAUUAAUUCUGAAGAAGGAUGAGACAAUAGUCCCCAAGUGCAGAUAUUUCUAAAUGAGGCUGCAGCCAUCCCCAGAGAAGCUUCCAGAUAGAAUUAGACCAAGUUACCCAAUACUUCAGCUUUAUGGACCAGGAAGAGAGUGCCCAUGAGAGGUGGCGAAAUGUGUGGACUUAGAAUGUGGAGCCUAGAGAUAGACUCAUACCAGCAGGACAGGUAGUAGGCACCUACAUAUGGGUGUCUCAUCUGUUGCUGUGAACGACAUGGGAUCUUCCAGAAUGCCACAAAGGUGUUCUAGGUCCUCGUGGCUAGAACACACCUGGUUUUCAUGAGGGGCAGGUCUUACUGGAAAGUAUCUUUCUGCACUGUGUCCACUGGAGAGGAGGGAACUUAGCCACAGACAGGCCAUGAGGGAAACAGAAAGCUAUGAACUCCAGGCUCUUGAAUAGAACUCCUUGGGGAAGUAUGUGGUCCAUCUGUCUGAGUAGGCUGCUGGAUGGAGCCUGUCAGAGGACAGCCAUGCUAGGCUCCUGUCUGCAAGCUUAACGGGGUAUCAUUAAUAGAGUCAGGGAUUGGGGCUUACCCAUGGAAUGGGCCUCAAGUUGGGCUGCUUAUUGAUUGGCCAUUCCCUCAGUCCCUGCAUUUCUUAAAAAUGGGAUUAAUUUGGGGAGUUGAAAGUUCUGUGAUUGGGUUGGUGUCCCUAUCACUUCAAUGGGGUCCCUGCCUGGCUACAGAAGGUGGCCUCUUUAGGUUCCACAUCCCCAGUGCUGUUAAGGUCAAACCCCCACCCCUGCAUUUGAUUCUUUGAUGGGAAGGAAAGUGUUUAGAAGUGCCUUCUCUCCUAAGUGGUGUUUGAAGUUUGCAGAAAUGCUAUGGAGAGAUUCUCAAGGAAAAGGGUUGUUCACAUUGGCAGAGUGAUUACAUACUGGCCCCAGGGAUCCAUGGUCAAGAGCAAAAGGUUUUGCCUUACAGUCUCAGGAGUAAUACACUGACCCCAGUACCCUUACCCUGCUUCUUCCCAAUCAUGUCUUACAAAAGUGUUGAUAGCUGUAUCAGGAACUUCACUCAUUACUAUACCAAAAUGUCUGAUGGACACAAGUUGAUAGAAGAAACAUUUAUUUGGGAAUCACUGUUUCAGAGUUGCCCAUCAUGGCAUACAAAAAAACCCCAGAGAAUACUAUACCAGAAUCAGGAUGUAUAGAUCCUUCAAAACCCCACGCUUGGGGACUUAUUUCUGUCUUUAAACCUCACCUCUAAAGGCCUUAUGGCCUUUAAAAUAAUUCCUAAGCUAAGAAACAAGCCCUCAGAGCAGAGGACUCUGGGAGACAUUUGACAUUCAAGACAAACUUUCAGUUUUUAACUCCAGAAGGCUCAUGGUCUUGCUGCAGUGAAAAUGCAGUCAUCCCCCUAGACUGUCACGGUAGCUUCACAGUCUCAUAAAUGUUCAAGGGCCCAAAGUACCAAGUCCCUUCUGAGACUCAAGGAAACAGCUCUGAGUGUCCAUAAAUCCAAAAAGCAAGUUGCGUGCUCUGAGUAGACAAAGGCACAGACUGAACAUUCCCCCUUUGAAUGAAGGAAAUGAGAAAAUAGCAAGAAAAGACUGGACCAAAGCAAGAACAAAACCCAGCAGGACACACAGUAGGUCCUACAGCUCCAUGUGUGGCUGAUGGUGGCAUGAGGUAAACUCCAGGGGCUUAUAUAGCUCAACCUCUGGGUCCCUGCUGCCUCUUGUAUACAUGAACUCUACCUCAGGCCAACUUCACUCAAUGAGUGUGGCUUUCCUUGUGUUCUGGACAUCCCCAGCAUUCUGUAGUUACCUAGGCUUUACUGUUAAAGCUUUACCAAUCUCUCUGUCAGGGCUCCUCCACAUAGACUCCAAUUGCCUAAGCUCACAAGCUUUUCUCUGUUACCUUGGUGCUAACUUCCAUAGCCUUCAAAUCCUUUGCAUUCUGCAUAUCUUAAAAAAAAAAAAGCCCCUGCCAAAUAAUGCCACGUUCUGCUACAAGCUCAUGGUGGCCAGGCCCCUUUAACCAUGGCUGCAGUGGCCAUCAAGUUCUAAGGUGGUUGAAUAUAGAAAAAAUACUUCCCAAGACAGUCCUAUUUGAGCUGUGAGCCCCUGGAGCUCUGUUGACCAUGGACUCAACUUUAACUGCUACGUUUCCAUAUUUCACUCAAACUCUGAAGCUGUUCCUGUUGCCCUCACGCAAAGCUCAGAAGUUCAUAGCAACUUUACAUGAGAUCACCCCCCUUUCCUUCCAAACACUAUUUGCCAUUCUCUCCUUUUUUGCCCUUUAAACUCUUAGUAUAUAAUCUGACUAGAAACAGCAAAUAAUAACCACUCCACAGCCUGUGUAUUCAGAUAUUUGAAAUUUCCUCAUUCAAGUAAGUUAGUCCAUUACUUUUAAAUUUAGCUCCUCUCCAAUGUUUAAAAAACGGGCAAACGUAGCCAGAUAUUUUGCAGAAUCUAACACAGAUGGCCUCUAGUCCUAUUCUUAAUGGAGGUUUUAGUUUCUUCUGAAACUUUAUGAGUACAUUCCUUACCGUCUGACUUUCUAUCAGGCCUGAAUGCCCACCGGAUGCUAAAUUCUGCUUAGAGCAGUCGAGGUCUCUAGACCACAUUGCAAGCUCCUUCCAAGCCCAAAGCCGAAUAAUCACCCGGUCAUGCCUAUCCAGCCGCAACCCCACUUCUUAGCAUAAAUUCUCUUGAUCCAUUCAUUGUCAAGAAGAAAAGGUUUAUUUUGACUCCCAAUCAGAGUCAAAUCAGAGGAUUUCAGUCCAUCCUAGGGCAGGAGGAAGAGUAAAAUUCCAGAUGAUGGGAGCUUGUGACCGAAGUUUUGCCAUCAUGGUGGAUCAAGAAUCAGAGAGCUUCGGACCAGAAGAAACAAUAUAAAGAAUCUUUGAAGGCCCACUAAAAGGAUCCAGGCCUGUUAGCCAAAUCCUAUCUCAUAAAAGCCCCACAUCUUUAAUAUAGCACCACAGUUGGGGGAUAAUCUAUAGUGGGGCUCAGAGCAGCCAGCCAUAUAAACAGUAACACAGAGACUUCCUAAUAUUUAAAGCUUAGGCCUUGUGGGAAUAGGUGUGUCCUUGUUGGAAUGGGUGUAGCCUUAUUGGAGUAGGUGUGUCCUUGUUGGAGUGGGUGUGGCUUUGUUGGAAUAGGUGUGUCCUUGUUGGAGUAGGUGUGUCCUUGUUGGAAUAGGUGUGUCCUUGUUGGAAUGGGUGUAGCCUUAUUGGAGUAGGUGUGUCCUUGUUGGAGUGGGUGUGGCUUUGUUGGAAUAGGUGUGUCCUUGUUGGAGUAGGUGUGUCCUUGUUGGAAUAGGUGUGUCCUUGUUGGAGUGGGUGUGGCUUUGUUGGAAUAGGUGUGUUCUUGUUGGAGUAGGUGUGUCCUUGUUGGAAUAGGUGUGUCCUUGUUGGAGUGGGUGUAGCCUUAUUGGAGUAGGUGUGGCCUUGUUGGAGUAGGUAUGGGUUUGUUGGAAUAGGUGUGGCCUUGUUUGAGUAGAUGUGACCUUGUUAGAGGAAGUGUAACACUGUGGGUAUGGUCAAUGAGACCCUCCUCCCAAACACUUGGAAGUCAGUUUUCUCCUAGCCGCCUUCAAAUGAAGAUGUAGAACUCUCAGCUCCUCCUGCACCAUGCCUGCCUGGAUGCUGCCAUGCUCCCACCUUGAUGAAAAUGGACUGAACCUCUGAACCUGUAAGCCAGCCCCGAUUAAAUGUUGCCUUGGCAUGGUGUCUGUACACAGCAGUAAAAGUCUAAGACAGGCCUUUCAAUGAGGGCCAUCUCCCAGCUACUCUAACCCGACUAAUCCUGGCACCACAUUCCACCAUGUGGCCAGCUCUAUCUCUAUGCCUCAGCCCUGGUCCAUCCAUUCACCUGUGUCCUCUGGUGGAAUCCCUUGCAUCUGUCUGGUUCUUCUCCCAGCAUCCCUCUCUCUGCUCUGCUAUUGGCUGUCAGCUCCUUAGUACAGCCAAUCAGAUACAAUUCUAGAUUGCCUCAGGCAGGUGAGGGAGAAUGAAUAUUUACAAAAUAUGAGGCUGGUGAUGGACCAUAGAAAUAAUGACGCCAAGAUCCUGCCAGUGUUUAGCUCCCUGAUGGUACAGAACUAACAACUGAAUAUAUAGAGACCUACGUAUGCACCACGUACCCAACGAUAAUCAUUCAAGCAUGAGCCUAGAAGUGACAUUUCAGGGAGAGCCACGACAGCCACGUUCAUCAGCAGGAGUUGGGAGAGGUCACAAUACUCACAUGAAGUCCAUCGGCACGGUCUCCUCAACCAUGCCUCUGUCUCUAUAGCUGUGCCCAGCCCUCACCCCCAUUCUCCCCAACCUGCUCUUCUAUAUCUGUUGGGGUAUCUGUCUCACCACGCUCACGGGGACACGAUGUAAGGUGUGUCACAGGUUCCAAGAUGAUCAAACAGCUCUGUCAUCCUGGGGUUCUUUCCAUUUAUCCACCCAGUUUGAGGACUCUCGGUCCUUAGCAUGACAAAGAGCUUCUCAUGGAAUCAUACACUUACUACAAUUCUGGAUCUUAAAUGUUUUGUUUUAGUCGGGCUUCUUUGACUUUGCUCAGUCGGGGAAGUGGAGGAGCCAGUUAAGGUGGAAUGUCCGGUAUUACCACCCAGCCUCACAGAUCCAUGGGGAGGGUUCUAUGGCCGCUGCCUACCCUGAUACUGUCUGGUGCCUUCUUCCUCCCCAGCAUGCUGAAAGGCCUCCUUCUGAGUACACCAGGGUCAGAACCCACGGUGAAAGACAGGAGCAGCAGAGAGGCUCACACCAGCCCAUCAGGAUCACAGUCCCAGCUCCCCAGUGACCUUAGAUCCCCACUGGAGGACCAGGUACCUCAUGACAGCUGAUAUGGAGGCUGAGGAAGAUGGAAGGACUUUCUGACCUCGUUACAGGGAUAGUUCUAACUUAUCCGUGUUGUUUCACUUGUGUAGAGAAGUUACUACCCUUAAGUCUCCCCUGUAAGGCUAUCCAUUCGUAGGUCCUCAGUGUCAUGACCAGGUCUUUGAGGGAUGUGUUCGAGCCUGCUUGUGCCUCAAAAAACUCAUUUCUUUACCCUCAUGUUGGGAUGUGGAGGCUGAGGUGACGCCAGGAUGGUGCUGAGCAGUCUUUCUCCUCUCACUGGAAAGGCUGAACGUUAGGGAGGGUUUCCAAGAGGGGGGUGUUUGGUUUGGGUUUCAGUGAUGAAAUGCAACCCAUAAUCCUUUGCUUGCUGGAUGAAUGCUCUACCUCUGAGAGAAAGCCCUUCCCUUUGGUCUUUAUGUCGAAUGUGUGAUGCUCAGGACUAGUGUUACGUGGCGGGAUAAGCAGAAGAAAGCUUCUCCAUCCCUCUGUACUAAAAGCAGAGUCUCCUUACCUUGGAGACUUUAGGGUUUUGGGGAGCCAAGACUCAAUCAUCCAAGUGUAUUUCCAGCUUACAGAACACUUCACAGUCUUGCUCUGUGGAUAUUCAUACCACAGGUUCUGGUCCCCUCUCUAAAACUGCACUAGGCCGCCCACCUCAGUUCAUCUUUGUUUUUGAGUUGCUUUGCCCCUUCUACAGUGAGAAAAUUUAAAGUGGUGUUUUAGUUACUCAUCCCAUGGCUAAGGUAACCUCAACAAAGGCAAGACAAGGAAAGGUUUAUUUGGACUCACCGCUUGAGAGGAAAGUCUGCCGUGGAAGGAAGGUAUCACGGUAGGACCUGUGAGGCGACUGGUCUCCCAUUAGCCAGGAAACACAGGGAAAGGAAUGCCAGUGUUCAAUUUACUUUCUUCUUAUUUGAUUUAAGAUCCCAGUUCAUUAGUGCUUCAACAUCAGGGUGGGUCUUCCCUCCUUGGUUAAACAUCUCUGGAAGCCACGUCAGAAGCAUCCCCAAAGGUAUGCCUCCUAAACAAUUAAUCCAAUCUAGCAGACGGGGAAUGCUAACCAUGGCUGACAGUGACAGGAAGAUACUUUCCUUGCCUUCUAAUAAGGAAAGCUUUCACUUUCCCUGGGACGCAAGCCACCGUGUUUUAGUCCCAUAGUCAUUAUUUUUAAACACACAUACACACAAAAAAAUUAAUUUAUUUACCCUGUCUUUUAACCUUCUGAGACAAAAAUAUCCUGUAAAUCCAUCAAGAUGCCUUGAGUAAGUGCCUCUCUGCGUGGAGCUCCAUCCUCGGUGACACUGAUCAAGGCAAAGAGAAUCGUCCCCAAACCUAAAGGCACUGCUCAACCCAAAGUUGAGCAGCUGAUGUGAGUCUACCCUGCCACUCUGUGCUGUGCCUGAGGCUUCUGGACUCCGAUCCAACUGUCAUCUACCAGACCAUGAGAUUCAUGCCACUGUCACUGCUAUAUGCCCCCCCCCAUUUCAUAUAAUACUCAAUCCCAGCGCUGAGCAGCCAUCCUGUGUAUCCAACAAAAGAAGCCCGAAGCUCCCAGUCUCCGAGCACACUAGUGCUAAGUGAUGAGGGACCGACCGGGGCUAUGCAUAUGAGAACAUCUAAGCUGGGAGGAGACAGAGCUCAGAGGCAGAAGUGAGAAAGGAUUACUGAUGAGCACAGGGUCUUGCCAGACUGCUCUGCCAGGAGGCAGGCAUCCUCCUCGGUUCGGCUUUCUACAGCAAGGCCAUGGCCCUGAGUCAGCCACAGACACUAGCACAGCUCUACCCUCCCCAUUGGCACAGCUCUGCCCUCCUCAUUGCCCAUGUGCACGAGCUGAGCUCUUCUCCAUCUGAGGCACUGGAGGGUGUGCUGGGCUUUUCCCCCCGUAAGUGUGACUCCCCAACAAAGCAGCAGCAUGCCCAGCGUGAUCUGUUCCCUGGGUGCAUCACUGGGCCCUACUAUGGGAAGCACUGCAUCACCCUCACUACCUUAUGAAUCCAGAGCUCCAAGAGGCAAGCACUUCUUCCUGCAGUCACUCACAAUGGUUUGUUCUGAAAAGCCCCAAGUUGGAGGAGGGUGUAACCUCCAUAAAAGCCUAUAGGUGACACCUUCCCUUCCAUUUGGACCUCGCUCUCCAAACAAUAGAUGGAUUCUUUCAGAAGUUUGCUUCUCUCCCUCACAGGAUGACCCAGGAUGCUCACCAUUUACCUGUGUGGGUGUCUAUGAGUUGAGGGAAGAGGGGAGACACUGAGAAGUCAGGAAACAUCUGUUCCAAAUGGCGUCCCCAGAAGGAUUUGGAGUACCAGUGACUUGGGUUAUCUUUGCAGUUAGGGAAGAAGGGAACACAUCCCAGGAUCCCUUGCUCUGCUUUCUAUGAAGACAUGGAGACGUGCGGGCUUUAUUUCCCAUCUCCCAGCCCCGGGUGCCUCUGUGAUGAAGCCUUGACGGUUUUGGCUGCCCUUUCUCGACUUCUGUUGUUUUCUGGGGCUCAGUGGGAUCAGUAUUCUGUGCCGUGGCAAGACAUGCCAACAAAUUGCAUCACUUCUGCCUCGGUGACCAAGGACAAUGACAUGCCAUAUGCCAGCGGCAGGAAAUGAAUGGGGCUCAUUUACACUGGCACCGGGUGAUGCGGCCAUCAGCUUCCUGAGACUGUCUGCAGCAAAUUGGAAGGUGGCAGAGAGGCGGAACCCCUGGGCUCCCAGCUACAGGACAGAGAAGGUGUGGUUGGAAGUACCUGGUCCCACAGGGUGGGGUGUCCUUCCUGGAGGAACUUAAGCCUUCCCGUCUCCGAGGAGGCCCUGAAUCAGGUCAGCAUCUGCUCCCUGCACUGAAGGGAAAGAAAGGGACUGGGUGUAGCAAUGCCUUCCAGCUGCUGGACAGAACAAAAACUCAGUGGGUGCCGUGCACAGAACAACUGAAGCAUUUGCUUGUGCAAGCGGCCUGCCACAAAAGCUUGCCCUGUCGGUGACCCCAUGCCUGGACCCCACCCCGUGACGGCAUAGCUCACACCAUCCGACCUCCAGCCUCUAUGGCAUCUCCUUGUUUAUCUUCACACAUGGACUCGGGGACUCAGGUAAUGAUUAAAGAGCCGGUGCUCUGGAGACCUCAGUAGCUAAUGAGGAGAUCGGGGGGUCACCCUCAGAUGGCAGCCAGCCAAGAGCUCACCCAUCGCCACUGUCCCUUGCACUUGUUUCAGGGCAGUGAGGAGACAGAUAGCAAUCAUAUGGCCCCCUCUUCUUAAUCACCACAAUUAACCAUUGUCAGAGGUAGGUGAGCAUGGGGUGACAUCCUGGCAAAGUGACAAAAAAAAAAAAAACCCACCUAAUAUAUUUGGCAUUUGUGAUGACUUCUUAUCUGAUCUGACAAUGACCCAGGGAGAUGUAAAAACCCAUCCCUUCUAUCCUUGGGAGGCAUAACCUCAAGUCUACAAAGAGCUAGAAUGAGGUGACAAGGCUCAGCUCUCAGGACACCACAGCAGGAACCAGCAGUGCACUGAGCAUAGCCAAAAGUUCUGGUCUGAAGCCACCAUAGGCUGUCCCCUGAAGCCGGAGAACACCUACAGCUGAUACUGAGAAACAAGGAAAGGUGUCUCGGGCUUCCAGGCCAUGGGACAUUAGAAGCAGCUAACGGCAGCGCCUAUUCUGUCUGGCCUCCCAGUCCAGCCUUUCUCCAGACAGGACCCCUUCCUUAGAAGUGUAAUUGGAAGAGAGAGCAAUGCCCACUGACCCGUUUCUAAGCAUAACCUCAAGAAAGAUGGUACCCUACUUGCCGCGGUGUCAAAGAACAUACUGCCUCCUGUGUCCUUCAGAGGAAUCCAGGGUGUCAAUUUCUCUGUGGCUGACAGAAAGACGCACAGCAUCUAGCUCACUCCAGCUUCUUUGCUGGGCCCAAGAUGUUUUCACAUUCCAGGUUUUCCCAGAGAAGCGUGCUUCUGGGAUGAAGGGAACAGGGGCAUUCUGUACAGUAUGACUUCAAGAGAAAGAGCUAAGCCCACAGCCACAAUUUCUGCACUUAACCAUGUUCCCGAGUCCUGACCUAGAACCAUAGGGCACACAUACAUACACACAGGCCUGAUACACACACAAAACUUUCAAGGGGCCUUGUUCCCUGCAACAGAGAGCUGUGCAGAUCUAAAUGCCCUUUCCUGAUAAUAUCAUCGUUCAAGAGAUUGUUGGAGUUCUCCCUCCAAGCACACUAUGUGCAUUUCUAAAGUGAGGCAUUUUGGCUUCUGAACAUCAUUUAAAAAGUAAAAUAACCAGUGAGUUCAGAGUUUGCAGUUAAGUCUUAAUCUGCCAACUUUAAAUUUUCAUUCUCUUGUGAAGAUGUGAUCGUUAGUAUAUGUGAUCUACUUGACAGGACCGAGAAUCACCUGGAACACUAAACUUGGGGCAUUGUCUAUGAGGAAAUUUCUAGAUUAGGUUAACUGAGGUGGGAGGACCCCCACUGUAACUGUGGGUGGCACCAUUCCCUAGGCUGUGAUUCUAGAAUGAAUGAAAAUGAAAGUAAGCUGAGCACCUGCUGACAUCUCUCUCUGCUUCCUGACUUCCAAUACAGGUAACCAGGGUCUCUCUUUCACUAAGCUGGACUGCACCUUGAAACUGUGAGCCAAAGUUAACCCUUUCAUAACAUGCCGUUUACACUUAAUUUUUCACAGCAACCAAACAGGUAACUAAUACACAGGGUGGGGUAUGCAGAUCACAGGCCAUCACUGACUACUAUCCUUUACUCUGCUCCUUAGACUCUGGAGCCAGGAAGCUCAGUGCUUGGGUCUGCUGCAAACUGCUGGAAGCGUAAAUGGGAAGAAAGUUCUCUCUGCAUAGCUCACAGCUCUGCACUGAUCUCAGCGCUGUCGGAAGUGUGUACCGGGAUUCCGUCUUUCUCACUUGUUUUCUGUGCUCAGGGCUGUUGCAGGCAAAGGUCUUUUGCUAACGAGGCGAGCAACGGGAGAUGGUGAGAGUUGGUCGAUGGCAGUUGAGAACAGGACAUGAAAAGAUGUUUCCAUACAUUGCCGAAAGAGAAAGAGGAGGAACCAUCAGAGUGUGGGAGAAGGAAUGAUGCCCAUGACUGAUCCAAGGAUGCUCUGGGUGUUAGCUCCAGCAGACAGUGCUGGGUGCAUGCUUGCUCAGCGCUUGUAUAUGCUGACCCCUAACCUUGCUGACCCAACCCUUGCAGAUAGAAGUCCCUAACCUUGCUAUCCCAACCCUUGCUAAUGAUGACCUGUAACCUUUCUAUUUCAGCCUUUGCAGAUGUGGGCCCUUGACACUGUAAUCAUCUUUGUUAGGUGUGCAAAAGAUGACCCUCCGAACCAUAUGAACACAGUUCUGGGAACUGUGCCCUCUAUGUUCAAACUAAUAUAAACAAGAAUGUAAGGAAAAGAACCCCACCAGAGUGUCAUGAACACAGGCUGACCAUUUGGAAUAUGGAUGAAGGGUAUCCUUGUUUUAGAAAUGACCCAGCAGCCAAUUCAACCAGACAGUUGGUAUAACUGACAUUUAUCUAGUGCAUGGAAUCUGUUAGCUUUUUCUUCUUUCUUUCAUUCAUCCUUCCUUCCUUUCUUUUUUCCUCUUUUCUUUCUUUCACUUUUCUUAUUUCUUGUUUUCGCUUGAGAUGAAUCUGGCUGUGUACUGCUGGCUGUCCUGAAACUCAAUCCUGCAGAAGAAUCUCGUGCUCUGUCCCCAGGGCUAGGCUGGCUGAUAGAAACCACCACGCACUGUCCACUGAGUAGUUCAUUGAGCUCAUCUUCCAGAAUGGUGGCACUAAGACCCCCACCUAAUUUUUUUUAAAUACAAGGUAGAAAAUUAAAUAACCACUGGAGAAUAGCCACAUGUCUACUAUCCUGGGACGUGCUGCCAGUGCUUUGGAAGGACUUUGCUGAAUAAGAGCUUCCUUUUUUCAAAUUGUCUCUGCAAAUAUCUGAGCUCCAUCAAUGUGCCCCAAUGUAUAGUCAGUGAUGUGUUUGUCAUUUCCACAAACUUAAGGGGGGACUUACCCAUCAUGGCAGAGGACUAAGCAUAAGAUACAAAUAACUACAGCGAGACAUGAUGGUAAGAAGUAAGGAGAGAGAGGCUGCCUCCACAGUACACAGGGAAGUCAGCAUCCUGAAAUCCCAGGCCCUAGACUGACCCAGCUCCCGGAGGUGAGUGACAGGCAGAUGCAUAGGGCAUCCUCUGGACUCCACUUCUUUUUUUUUUUUUUUGUUUCUUUUUUUCGGAGCUGGGGACCGAACCCAGGGCCUUGCGCUUCCUAGGUAAGCGCUCUACCACUGAGCUAAAUCCCCAGCCCCUGGACUCCACUUCUAAUCCAUCCACUUUACCUUGGCCCAUGCUAUACUUCCUGGUACACACCCUCUGGCUUCUCAUAUGUGUGUGAUGUACCACUAACAAUCUGACAGCUGAUACCAUGAUAGACACCAGGACUCACCCUAGGUCCUCCUACACAGGUUACAGGGAGUGUAAGAGGUGCUCCCAUGAGCUGUGUCCCACGAAGCACAUCAUGUCUAUGCUCGUGGGUGUGGCUCGGGUUUUCAACAGAGCAGACUCAUCAGCCAACCAUGUGUGUGGAACUGAAGGACUAAGGUUGGUCUGCAGAACAGUGAGGCUGAGCUGCAGACAGAGCUGGGACCUCAGGGCUGGAAUAAGUACAGAUACCACAACCUACUGGGGCCCUGACUUGGAGGUACAGGGACUCUUGAACAUUGGACACUCCCCUACUACUUUAAGAUAUUAAUUUCUCAUAGAACCCAAUGUCAUGGUGGAGCAAGGUCAACAUUCUGUUCUUUCAAGAAACUUGGGACAUAAAACUCCUGCAGGCCACUGCCUUGGAUGUAUGGCUCUUAGUGGGAAAAACAAGCUCACACCAUCCAUCAGGACCUUAGGAGCAAGUGGUGCUAUCAAAGAGGCAAAACAAAAGAAGUUCUUGGAUUUCUCAUUGCCCUCUUUCCUGGCUUGAACUAUCAUACAUCACUUGCUGCUAGUGUAGAUCACUUACUCAUAUUAUACAUUUACAAGAGUCUUACCUGCUGAAACCUUCCCUAGUGAUGUCCAAUCCUACCUAGCUCAGAGCUGGACUACAGAACAUCCGUCAGAGAGCACAGAUAUUUACAUUAUGAUUCAUAAUGGUAGCAAAAUUACAGUUAGGAACCUUUAUGGUUGGGGGUCACCACAACAUGAGCAACAGUAUUACAGAGUCACAGCAUCAGGAAGGUUGAGAAGCACUGCUUUGAACAAUAAAACCUUUCACAGUCAACAGCUACAUAAUAACUGUGCCCAUUGAGACUUAGCCUCUGUAGACUUUUAAGGGAGAACUUGUAGCCAGAGCUGUGAGAGCAGCAUGCCUCUCUCCUCAGCCUGGCUCUUGCUUGAGGUAGUCAUACAUUGCCAUAGCAACAUAGGUAUGCAGUAGACGCUUUCUUGAGUGAUGGAGACAUCUGAGGUGCCUGGUAAGGAGUUGGGGAUGAAGAAAGCCACAUCCACCUUUUUCUACUGUAUAAUAGAUUCUCCCAAUGGAUUGAACAAUGUCCCCUCAAACCUGAACCCCAGCACCUGUAAGUGCAGCCUCAGACCUCGUCUAAAACAUCCUCAUCCCUUACAAAGGGUGGGGUCCAUAUUAGCCAAAAUCAAAAUGUGUCUGGGGUCAAUAAAAGGUGAUUAUAGGCACACAGGCACAGGGGAAAGCCCUGUGAGGAAAAACUCAAAGUUAGAGCAAAGUCUCCUUGAUCUAAGCCAAGGAGAGAAAUCUCACAGAGCAUCCUUGUCAGUGUCCAGAUCUUAAACAUUUCAGACUGAAGAACCGUUGAGAUGUUGAGGAACUAUUGACAAGAUUUGUGACAAAGGCCCCAGUAGGUCACUAGCACAUAGCGCAAGAAACUCUGGCCCAUUCAUAAUUGACAACGGAGUCAAAGCAGCUCCUGGAAAAAUAACCUAGUGGGAGAGCUGGUCCGGGUACCUCACCCAGUGGUCCCAGGAUGAGAAUGAGGUUACCUAGGUUACAAUUUGUCACCCUCAGAAGCUUCCCAGUUCCAAGGGUAUAUAGCACCCACCUCUGUCUUCUCUGUAAGCCAGUAGUUCUCACCUGUGGAUCGCAACCCCUUUAGGGGUCAAAUGACCCUUUCACUGGGGUCACCUAAGACUGUCUGAAAACAAAUGUAUUUACAUUGUGAUUCAUAACAGUAGCAAAAUGACAGUUAUAAGACAUAAUAUCUUUAUGGUUGGGAAUCGUCACGACAUGAGGAACCGUAUUAAAGGGUCGCAUCAUUAGGAAGGUUGAGAAUCACUGCUUCAAACAAUAAAACCUCUCUCGCUGUCAGUAG